Molecule: ribosomal RNA, 485 nt
Filed under: uncultured bacterium
Lineage: Bacteria
Description: partial 16S ribosomal RNA
Rfam family: Bacterial small subunit ribosomal RNA
Source: RNAcentral
GAUUGAACGCUGGCGUCAGGCCUAACACAUGCAAGUCGAGCGGAUGAAGGGAGCUUGCUCCUGGAUUCAGCGGCGGACGGGUGAGUAAUGCCUAGGAAUCUGCCUGGUAGUGGGGGAUAACGUCCGGAAACGGGCGCUAAUACCGCAUACGUCCUGAGGGAGAAAGUGGGGGAUCUUCGGACCUCACGCUAUCAGAUGAGCCUAGGUCGGAUUAGCUAGUUGGUGGGGUAAAGGCCUACCAAGGCGACGAUCCGUAACUGGUCUGAGAGGAUGAUCAGUCACACUGGAACUGAGACACGGUCCAGACUCCUACGGGAGGCAGCAGUGGGGAAUAUUGGACAAUGGGCGAAAGCCUGAUCCAGCCAUGCCGCGUGUGUGAAGAAGGUCUUCGGAUUGUAAAGCACUUUAAGUUGGGAGGAAGGGCAGUAAGUUAAUACCUUGCUGUUUUGACGUUACCAACAGAAUAAGCACCGGCUAACUUCGUG